RNAcentral lists this long non-coding RNA (396 nucleotides) under Capsella rubella. RNAcentral's name for it is "long non-coding RNA (CRUB_LNC004922)". Lineage: Eukaryota; Viridiplantae; Streptophyta; Magnoliopsida; Brassicales; Brassicaceae. The record is from RNAcentral.
UUUUUGUUAAUAUUGCACAUUGCUGCUAUCUGCCAGAUGGAUUUUUUUCGUCAAAAUAUAAUUUAUAUAGAUGAAUUAAUUUAAUCAUGAUAUGAAUAAGAACAAAUCACAAAAAUAAAGGAUAUAUAUUUGUCUUAGUAUUGCCAUAUUACCCACUUUCAGCUAACGGACAUGAAGUUUAUGUAACAAUCAAAUGAUUUUCAUUUUUGAUAAAGACGAUAUACAUUUAUUUCGACAUUACGUCGGCCAAAUUUAUCACAAUAGUCUUAAAAAGGUUAAACCACAAUGAAAUAUUUAUAAAACAACUCGACGGUUUUCUUAAAGAAUCAUAAUUAGUAUUAUAUAAUUAUCAAUAACCACAACAUAAACCAAACAAUAAUUAACGAUCGAACCAAU